UCCCCGGNCUCAACCUGGGAACUGCGUUNUGAACUGGGUGACUAGAGUGUGUCAGAGGGAGGUAGAAUUCCACGUGUAGCAGUGAAAUGCGUAGAGAUGUGGAGGAAUACCGAUGGCGAAGGCAGCCUCCUGGGAUAACACUGACGUUCAUGCCCGAAAGCGUGGGUAGCAAACAGGAUUAGAUACCCUGGUAGUNCACGCCCUAAACGAUGUCGAUUAGCUGUUGGGCAGCAUGACUGCUUAGUAGCGAAGCUAACGCGUGAAAUCGACCGCCUGGGGAGUACGGUCGCAAGAUUAAAACUCAAAGGAAUUGACGGGGACCCGCACAAGCGGUGGAUGAUGUGGAUUAAUUCGAUGCAACGCGAAGAACCUUACCUGGUCUUGACAUGUACGGAACCCUCCAGAGACGGAGGGGUGCCUUCGGGAGCCGUAACACAGGUGCUGCAUGGCUGUCGUCAGCUCGUGUCGUGAGAUGUUGGGUUAAGUCCCGCGACGAGCGCAACCCUUGUCAUUAGUUGCCAUCAUUAAGUUGGGCACUCUAAUGAGACUGCCGGUGACAAGCCGGAGGAAGGUGGGGAUGACGUCAAGUCCUCAUGGCCCUUAUGACCAGGGCUUCACACGUCAUACAAUGGUCGGUACAGAGGGUAGCCAAGCCGCGAGGUGGAGCCAAUCUCACAAAACCGAUCGUAGUCCGGAUUGCACUCUGCAACUCGAGUGCAUGAAGUCGGAAUCGCUAGUAAUCGCAGGUCAGCAUACUGCGGUGAAUACGUUCCCGGGUCUUGUACACACCGCCCGUCACACCAUGGGAGUGGGGGAUACCAGAAGUAGGUAGGGUAACCGCAAGGAGCCCG
RNAcentral lists this ribosomal RNA (851 nucleotides) under uncultured bacterium. Its description in RNAcentral is "bacterial SSU rRNA". It matches the Rfam family "Bacterial small subunit ribosomal RNA", at positions 600 to 1452 of the family's 1533-position model. The record is from RNAcentral.